Molecule: ribosomal RNA, 22 nt
Filed under: uncultured Burkholderiales bacterium
Lineage: Bacteria; Pseudomonadati; Pseudomonadota; Betaproteobacteria; Burkholderiales
Description: partial 23S ribosomal RNA
Source: RNAcentral
GGUCAAGUGACGAAGUGCAUGU